This is a long non-coding RNA of Xiphophorus couchianus (Monterrey platyfish), 179 nucleotides long. RefSeq lists it as uncharacterized. The transcript has 4 exons. Lineage: Eukaryota; Metazoa; Chordata; Actinopteri; Cyprinodontiformes; Poeciliidae. The record is from RefSeq and is a predicted model, not a curated record.
GAAAACCAACAGUCCCGCCAAAAUUGUCUCCAAAAGAGAAGGAUGGGGCUAGAAAACCAACAGUCCCGCCAAAAUUGUCUCCAAAAGAGAAGGAUGGGGCUAGAAAACCAACAGUCCCGCCAAAAUUGUCUCCAAAAGAGAAGGAUGGAGCUAAGAAAACAACUGUGCUACCAAAAUUG